UUUAAUAAUAUGAGGGUAG
This 19-nucleotide non-coding RNA is filed under the name Rattus norvegicus (Norway rat). The record is from RNAcentral. Lineage: Eukaryota; Metazoa; Chordata; Mammalia; Rodentia; Muridae.